AGUGAACGCUGGCGGUAGGCCUAACACAUGCAAGUCGAACGGCAGCACAGUAAGAGCUUGCUCUUACGGGUGGCGAGUGGCGGACGGGUGAGGAAUACAUCGGAAUCUACUUUUUCGUGGGGGAUAACGUAGGGAAACUUACGCUAAUACCGCAUACGACCUACGGGUGAAAGCAGGGGAUCUUCGGACCUUGCGCGAUUGAACGAGCCGAUGUCGGAUUAGCUAGUUGGCGGGGUAAAGGCCCACCAAGGCGACGAUCCGUAGCUGGUCUGAGAGGAUGAUCAGCCACACUGGAACUGAGACACGGUCCAGACUCCUACGGGAGGCAGCAGUGGGGAAUAUUGGACAAUGGGCGCAAGCCUGAUCCAGCCAUACCGCGUGGGUGAAGAAGGCCUUCGGGUUGUAAAGCCCUUUUGUUGGGAAAGAAAAGCAGCAGGUUAAUACCCCGCUGUUCUGACGGUACCCAAAGAACAAGCACCGGCUAACUUCGUG
This 492-nucleotide ribosomal RNA is filed under the name uncultured bacterium. Its description in RNAcentral is "partial 16S ribosomal RNA". It matches the Rfam family "Bacterial small subunit ribosomal RNA", at positions 29 to 507 of the family's 1533-position model. The record is from RNAcentral.